GGCGUGUGUGUGUGUGUGUGUGUGUGUGUGUGUGUGUGUGAGUGUGCCCACAUGUGAGUGCAUGUUGUGUGUGAGAGUGCACUGUAUGUUCCCCCUGGCUGCGAGGCAGAUGACUGCCCCUCUCUGCAUCCUGUCUUACCUUCCAGCGUGACGGUCUGUGGCUGCUGCUCUGCAUGGGCCCAGAACCCCUUGCAAUACACUCUGUAAAUACAUGCCCUCGAGCCCCUCGCCCCUUGCCCCUACCCCUGCCCCUGCCCCUGCCCCUGCCCUGUGGCUGCCAGCUUGGCUCUUCUUCCAGGCCUUUUCCCUACCUGCAAGGUUCUCCUUACCACCUGACGCCUCUGUGCACAUGCUAGCAGAAGAGAAUUUGGGGUUCUAGGAGAGCAGAGCCCCCCUGGGGGCUUCCGUGCCCCUGUCCCAGCCCCCAUGACGAGGCAGCAGGGCCACAGACCCUGCACGCUCAGCCCGCCCACCCUCCGGGGUCUCUAAGGCUCAGUGAGGCCUCCUCGGACAUUCAGAGGAGCCGGCCGCCUGCAGGGAAAAGGCAAACCUCUUUCUGGAGAGGAAAGAGGGACGUCCAGCCCGUACGUCCCUGCUGCGAAGGCUCAGGGUGCCCGAGGAAGGAGGCUGCCUGUCCGGGUGCCCUGCAGGUGGACCCCGGAGGCUGCCUGCCCCGGGGGCUGGAGGUGCUGGGAGGGGAGAGGAGAGACCAGCCACCGCAGGCAGCUUUCUGAAACCGGGGAGGGCCUGGUUUCCUUGGUCACAGGAGCAACACGCGCCCCCCCCCCCCCGAGGGUUAGGGAGGGUGUCCCAGCUCCUGAGCCCAAGUGGGUUCUGAUCCAGAGUCACCUGAGAGCUGCAGUCCAGUGGGCUCCUCCAUAGCUCCCUGACCCGGGCCCCGGCCUGAGCCCACCCCAGCCCACUGUGCCUCUCCAUGGGAUGGCUGGGCACAGGUGACUCGGUGGCCUUUUGUUAUUUCUUUUUCCAAUAAAAGAACUUGCUGAGCUUGA
This is a long non-coding RNA of Pipistrellus kuhlii (Kuhl's pipistrelle), 1010 nucleotides long. RefSeq lists it as uncharacterized. The transcript has 2 exons. The record is from RefSeq and is a predicted model, not a curated record. Lineage: Eukaryota; Metazoa; Chordata; Mammalia; Chiroptera; Vespertilionidae.